AGCGAACGCUGGCGGCGUGCUUAACACAUGCAAGUCGAGCGGUAAGGCCCUUUCGGGGGUACACGAGCGGCGAACGGGUGAGUAACACGUGGGUGACCUGCCCUCAGCUCUGGGAUAAGCCUGGGAAACCGGGUCUAAUACUGGAUAUGACUCCAUGACGCAUGUUGUGGGGUGGAAAGCCUUGUGCGGCUGAGGAUGGGCCCGCGGCCUAUCAGCUUGUUGGUGGGGUGAUGGCCUACCAAGGCGACGACGGGUAGCCGGCCUGAGAGGGCGACCGGCCACACUGGGACUGAGACACGGCCCAGACUCCUACGGGAGGCAGCAGUGGGGAAUAUUGGACAAUGGGCGCAAGCCUGAUCCAGCGAUGCCGCGUGUGUGAAGAAGGCCUGCGGGUUGUAAAGCACUUUCAGUAGGGAAGAAAAGCCGAGUGCUAAUAUCACUCGGUCUUGACGUUACUUACAGAAGAAGCACCGGCUAACUCCGUGCC
Molecule: ribosomal RNA, 487 nt
Filed under: uncultured bacterium
Lineage: Bacteria
Description: bacterial SSU rRNA
Rfam family: Bacterial small subunit ribosomal RNA
Source: RNAcentral